Molecule: long non-coding RNA, 1689 nt
Organism: Dermacentor andersoni
Lineage: Eukaryota; Metazoa; Arthropoda; Arachnida; Ixodida; Ixodidae
Source: RefSeq, a predicted model, not a curated record
GGGUCUCAUUAAUCUGGUACAGCGCUGCCGUGAGAAGCCAGUAUUCUGUCGAGAUGAAGACUCACCCACGAGUGUUUAUGUAGCUAUAUUGUAUUGAACACACGAAUUAUAUGCGAGCUCAAAAGUGUAAAGAGCAAGAGACAACUGUCGAAAUUAGCAGUAACAACCCUCAGUGUCCCCGGUCACCGUUGUCUGUUUCUGAAUUUCGUAUGAAAUAUGGAUAUCGUUACAGCAAAAUCGAUGGUCUAGCACUCCACGAUGUACCUGUCGAUGGUAACAACACUUUUGCUCAUCUAGAGAUGCGGCAGUUGACGCGGUGAAGUGAAAGCGCAUCGUGGCUUUUAAAAUGCAAAUGUAAACAGCAACCCAGACAGCAAUUUACACUCUUGACACAGCUUCAACAUACGCAAACAGUGAUGUUCGGCGUGGUGCAGUGGUAAGAUGCUUGUCUCGGAACCGUCAGGUCCAAAGUUCGAAUCCUAGGCAAAAGACAUUUUUUUUUCUACUUUUAUUUUUUAUUUUAUUUCGUAUUAAUAAUUUUACAUAACCUUAAAAUGACCUCUGUCAAUUUUCAAUCAAAUAUUGAUCAGGAACUACAGAAUUUUCGACUACAGGGCGUCACACUACAGAGAACAGAACGGCAGUCACAACGUCCCAAAAUACGACAGACUGAAAAUUUGCUGUUGUGUUUUUCAAGUGGGUGAGACGUCUAUACGGCGUAUACGCAGAUUGCUGUCCUCUCUAUUAAAAGCAACGUUGCUGAAACACGUCGUACAAGACUCUGUACGACUCGCAUAACAUCGAAAUACAACGCCGUCACCAUCCAUGAGAUCACCGAAAGCACGGUCGCUUUCGGUGGCGGCCUACAGAUGGCAGCACAGGUAGCGCCGGUAAAGUUACAGGUGAUGUUAUAUUGCCGUCCUCAGUUGUCGCCACAUGUGAGUGCUUGCUGCAUUGACGCCGUCCGAUGUAGUUGUUUAAUCGUGUGUACGCUGUGCCGAGAGAAAUUGUGGUGCAUUUUGUAUGCAUUGAGAAUCACAAAACCCCUGGGACCGCGUAAUGUAGCCCGCAGUAUCCUUCGUGUGGUGCGCCGAUGUCGAAGAUAUGACCCUUCGCGCUUCCUUUGUUCCGGGCUCAUGAACAGGAUCUCCUCCUUUGGCACUGUCGCAUCGUAUCGCGCUGUACGGAAGAAUUUGGUGAAAGUUGUGCUCUUACGUCCUGUAGUUGAUCCGCAAUUCAACAGUGUGUGCGCCGGAAGGACCGUUGGUGCAGUCGAUGCCGCGGCACCUGUGACGCUAAAAGGAGCGUUUUCCGAGUACGCCUAGAAAGGGAUGGCAAGAUUUUGUGAACCAGAGGCACCUCCACAUGUGCACCUGCGGCACUUCUGCAGCCUCAACAGCACGGAAAAGUACCUGAUGUGCAUGCUGUGACAAGCUGCUGUAGGUAUGGCUGGACCUGGAGAAGAAGUGUAAGCAGACCAUGCUAUGUUGCUGAUCUGCGCUGAUCUCCACAUCCAAGUUGGUCCCGCGACAGUUGGGCACCAUUGUGCCUUGCUUCAUUGACAAGGUGAUAUAAUAUGGUGCCCUGCUCGCUCUCACCCAAGCAACCCACUCCAGCGGUCUUCUCUCGGCAGACUGGAUGCAUCGAAAUACCGUUAGAAGGUCCAAUAAACAGUGCUUGGGACAUUUA